UAUGUGUUAGGGUGUAUGACAUAAUCACAUAACUUCCUAGUGAAGCCGUAAAAAUCUAACUAUUAAAAUAAGUUUCUUGUUAUCCCACAACAAGUACUGAAAUAUUACCCCUUUGAGACACGAAACGUUACAGUCGGUGCAACGGAUUUUACACCUAAAGAUAGCACUUAUCUAAGGUUGUGCCUUUUACCACAGGCCGUGUGAUAAAGCUACCGGGGCAACUUGAGAAACUCAAGAAGUUUCUUGUAUUCGUAGUUAUAGAGACCGUGUUCAGAUAAUAGCAGAUGUAGCUUUGCCCCUAGGGCUGUAAUUAUAAACUAGUUGCACCAAUGACAUCUAGUAAAGUGUCAUCAAGCGAUGUUUGCGAGAUACAACCGCUUAGGAGACAAUGCGCUUCCUCUUGCUUUCUCCACUUUGUUCCGAAAUAACCUCUCCCCUCGUUUCACAUCAGGAACACGAAUGUCUUAUAAAGGUUUCUGUCGAGGAAGAAUGCUAGCACACAACACACAGACUGGUCCAACAAGUUACAAAUCCGUUUUAGAUGUUGAUCUUUGAAUGGGACACAUCUCACUCAACUCUGGAUCAUUAGUUUCUGACUGUCAUGGCCGUGCGACGCUUCUGCUCACACCAACAGUCUACACACGGUUCAGAGGAGGGAGCUGUGUACCAGAUGUGUGGUGCGUGUGAGUGUCAUCUGUGUGUAUGCUGUCAUCUUCAUUCUGUGCUUCGGUUGUACUACAGCAGUUCUAGAAUGCUCGUGUGCUACUGGCUGCCAUUCGACACCGUUUGUGACACAUCACAGACCUGCGGAAGAAGAAACAUGGCGCUUGGAAGGCCGGCGACUAUCAGCUCUUUGUUUAAUAGUACUGUGUGGAUAAUGAGAAUCAGGCCCGGCGUGUCUGGCUGUGAACGGCAAUACUAAUACCAUCUUUCGUCCAAUCAACCAGUACCCUGACUCUCCUAAUUGUGUUCACACAGAAGAAAACAGCAACCCGUCAUACUGGGAGGUUGACCUGGGCAGACCCUAUGAUAUUCACACCAUCACAGUGUAUGCGC
Long non-coding RNA from Pomacea canaliculata, 1056 nucleotides. RefSeq lists it as uncharacterized. The transcript has 4 exons. Lineage: Eukaryota; Metazoa; Mollusca; Gastropoda; Architaenioglossa; Ampullariidae. The record is from RefSeq and is a predicted model, not a curated record.